CGGAGGAACAUGUGGUUUAAUUCGAUGAUACGCGAGGAACCUUACCCGGGCUUAAAUUGCAACUGACGGAACCGGAAACGGUUCUUUCUUCGGACAGUUGUGAAGGUGCUGCAUGGUUGUCGUCAGCUCGUGCCGUGAGGUGUCGGCUUAAGUGCCAUAACGAGCGCAACCCUUACGGGUAGUUACCAUCAGGUUAUGCUGGGGACUCUACCCGGACUGCCGUCGUAAGAUGUGAGGAAGGUGGGGAUGACGUCAAAUCAGCACGGCCCUUACGUCCGGGGCUACACACGUGUUACAAUGGGGGGUACAGAAGGCAGCUACACGGCGACGUGGUGCUAAUCCCAAAAGCCUCUCUCAGUUCGGAUUGGAGUCUGCAACCCGACUCCAUGAAGCUGGAUUCGCUAGUAAUCGCGCAUCGGCCACGGCGCGGUGAAUACGUUCCCGGGCCUUGUACACACCGCCCGUCAAGCCAUGAAAGCCGGGGGUACCUGAAGUACGUAACCGCGAGGAGCGUCCUAGGGUAAAACUGGUGAUUGGGGCUAAGUCGUAACAAGGUAAGCGUAGCGAG
Molecule: ribosomal RNA, 568 nt
Filed under: uncultured bacterium
Lineage: Bacteria
Description: bacterial SSU rRNA
Rfam family: Bacterial small subunit ribosomal RNA
Source: RNAcentral